This 67-nucleotide transfer RNA is filed under the name Mesocricetus auratus (golden hamster). It matches the Rfam family "tRNA". Rfam says of the family: Transfer RNA (tRNA) molecules are approximately 80 nucleotides in length. Their secondary structure includes four short double-helical elements and three loops (D, anti-codon, and T loops). Lineage: Eukaryota; Metazoa; Chordata; Mammalia; Rodentia; Cricetidae. The record is from Rfam by way of RNAcentral.
AGAUGGCUUAGUGGUUAAGAGCACUGACUGCUAUUCCAGAGGACCUGGGUUCAAUUCCCAGCAUCUA